GAUCAUGGCUCAGGAUGAACGCUAGCUACAGGCUUAACACAUGCAAGUCGAGGGGCAGCAGAUCGAAAGCUUGCUUUGAUGCUGGCGACCGGCGCACGGGUGAGUAACGCGUAUCCAACCUUCCCUAUAGUAGAGAAUAGCCCGGCGAAAGUCGGAUUAAUGCUCUAUGUUGUAUUUAGAAGACAUCUGAAGAAUACCAAAGGUUUUACCGCUAUAGGAUGGGGAUGCGUCUGAUUAGGUAGUAGGCGGGGUAACGGCCCACCUAGCCGACGAUCAGUAGGGGUUCUGAGAGGAAGGUCCCCCACAUUGGAACUGAGACACGGUCCAAACUCCUACGGGAGGCAGCAGUGAGGAAUAUUGGUCAAUGGACGGAAGUCUGAACCAGCCAAGUAAGCGUGCAGGAUGACGGCCCUAUGGGUUGUAAACUGCUUUUAUAUAGGGAUAAAGUCGGGGACGUGUCCCCGUUUGUAGGUACUAUAUGAAUAAGGACCGGCUAAUUCCGUGCCAGCCGCCGC
RNAcentral lists this ribosomal RNA (515 nucleotides) under uncultured bacterium. Its description in RNAcentral is "bacterial SSU rRNA". It matches the Rfam family "Bacterial small subunit ribosomal RNA", at positions 15 to 518 of the family's 1533-position model. The record is from RNAcentral.